RNAcentral lists this ribosomal RNA (445 nucleotides) under uncultured crenarchaeote. Its description in RNAcentral is "bacterial SSU rRNA". It matches the Rfam family "Archaeal small subunit ribosomal RNA", at positions 969 to 1412 of the family's 1478-position model. The record is from RNAcentral. Lineage: Archaea; Thermoproteati; Thermoproteota.
UACCAGACAAGCUGAGAGGUGGGGCAUGGCCGUCGCCAGCUCGUGCCGUGAGAUGUCCUGUUAAGUCAGGUAACGAGCGAGAUCCCUGCCUCUAGUUGCCACCAUUACUCUCAGGAGUAGUGGGGCGAAUUAGCGGGACCGCCGUAGUUAAUACGGAGGAAGGAAGGGGCCACGGCAGGUCAGUAUGCCCCGAAACUCUGGGGCCACACGCGGGCUGCAAUGGUAACGACAAUGUGUUCCGAAUCCGAAAGGAGGAGGUAAUCCAGAAACGUUACCACAGUUAUGACUGAGGGCUGCAACUCGCCCUCACGAAUAUGGAAUCCCUAGUAACUGCGUGUCGUUAUCGCGCGGUGAAUACGUCCCUGCUCCUUGCACACACCGCCCGUCGUUUCAUUGAAGUUUGCUCUUAGGCGAGGUNACGUCUCAUUGGCGUUAUCGGACUUGA